This 460-nucleotide ribosomal RNA is filed under the name uncultured bacterium. RNAcentral's name for it is "partial 16S ribosomal RNA". It matches the Rfam family "Bacterial small subunit ribosomal RNA", at positions 338 to 795 of the family's 1533-position model. The record is from RNAcentral.
CCUACGGGGGGCAGCAGUGAGGAAUAUUGGUCAAUGGACGAGAGUCUGAACCAGCCAAGUAGCGUGAAGGAUGACUGCCCUAUGGGUUGUAAACUUCUUUUAUAUGGGAAUAAAAUGUUCCACGUGUGGGAUUUUGUAUGUACCAUAUGAAUAAGGAUCGGCUAACUCCGUGCCAGCAGCCGCGGUAAUACGGAGGAUCCGAGCGUUAUCCGGAUUUAUUGGGUUUAAAGGGAGCGUAGGUGGAUUGUUAAGUCAGUUGUGAAAGUUUGCGGCUCAACCGUAAAAUUGCAGUUGAAACUGGCAGUCUUGAGUACAGUAGAGGUGGGCGGAAUUCGUGGUGUAGCGGUGAAAUGCUUAGAUAUCACGAAGGACUCCGAUUGCGAAGGCAGUUCACUGGACUGCAACUGACACUGAGGCUCGAAAGUGUGGGUAUCAAACAGGAUUAGAUACCCGAGUAGUC